This 498-nucleotide ribosomal RNA is filed under the name uncultured bacterium. RNAcentral's name for it is "partial 16S ribosomal RNA". It matches the Rfam family "Bacterial small subunit ribosomal RNA", at positions 899 to 1397 of the family's 1533-position model. The record is from RNAcentral.
ACUCAAAUGAAUAGACGGGGGCCCGCACAAGCGGCGGAGCAUGUUGCUUAAUUCGACGCAACGCGAAGAACCUUACCAAGGUUUGACAUCACUCGUUUACCGGUGGAGAUGCCGGGUCCUUUUGGGGCGGGUGACAGGUGGUGCAUGGCUGUCGUCAGCUCGUGUCGUGAGAUGUUGGGUUAAGUCCCGCAACGAGCGCAACCCUCGUUCCAUGUUGCCAGCACGUGGUGGUGGGGACUCAUGGGAGACCGCCGGGGUCAACUCGGAGGAAGGUGGGGAUGACGUCAAGUCAUCAUGCCCCUUAUGUCUUGGGCUGCAAACAUGCUACAAUGGCCGGUACAGAGGGCUGCGAUACCGUGAGGUGGAGCGAAUCCCGUAAAGCCGGUCUCAGUUCGGAUCGAAGUCUGCAACUCGACUUCGUGAAGUCGGAGUCGCUAGUAAUCGCAGAUCAGCAGUGCUGCGGUGAAUACGUUCCCGGGCCUUGUACACACCGCCCGU